This is a long non-coding RNA of Lynx canadensis (Canada lynx), 261 nucleotides long. RefSeq lists it as uncharacterized. Lineage: Eukaryota; Metazoa; Chordata; Mammalia; Carnivora; Felidae. The transcript has 3 exons. The record is from RefSeq and is a predicted model, not a curated record.
CAGGUUGCGAGUAUCUUUGUCUUUAGGUGCUUUCAACAAAUGCCACCUCACAGUGUACCCUGCCCUCCUCUUAGAUGGGCAAAACAAAGAACUUGCAACAGGAAUUUUAUCUCCAUUGCUGCCACUACACUGUAGAUUGGAUGACUAUAGACAGCCAAUGCCUAAAACUGAAGACAUCCCCCCAAAAUAAACGGCACAGAUCUAUCCUGAAUCCACUCAUAAUAACACUAAGAAAACUAUCCAACAGAUAUUCCUGAUCAA